This is a non-coding RNA of Caenorhabditis elegans, 142 nucleotides long. NCBI's taxonomy places the organism in Eukaryota, Metazoa, Nematoda, Chromadorea, Rhabditida, Rhabditidae. The record is from Ensembl.
AAAUCGCCAUUGGCUAGUUUUUGCUUCCGCGUAUCUCAGGAGACGAUGGCUUGGAGGCUACUAGCGGUACAGACCGAACCUAUUCAUCACUACUUUUUGAUGGCCUAUCUCAUUUCCAAGUGACGUAACAAUGAUGAACUGA